AGAGUUUGAUCAUGGCUCAGAUUGAACGCUGGCGGCAUGCCUUACACAUGCAAGUCGAACGGCAGCGCGGGCUUCGGCCUGGCGGCGAGUGGCGAACGGGUGAGUAACAUAUCGGAACGUGCCCUGGAGUGGGGGAUAGCUCGGCGAAAGCCGGAUUAAUACCGCAUACGAUCUACGGAUGAAAGUGGGGGACCGCAAGGCCUCACGCUCGUGGAGCGGCCGAUAUCUGAUUAGCUAGUUGGUGGGGUAAAGGCCUACCAAGGCAUCGAUCAGUAGCUGGUCUGAGAGGACGACCAGCCACACUGGGACUGAGACACGGCCCAGACUCCUACGGGAGGCAGCAGUGGGGAAUUUUGGACAAUGGGCGCAAGCCUGAUCCAGCAAUGCCGCGUGAGUGAAGAAGGCCUUCGGGUUGUAAAGCUCUUUUGUCAGGGAAGAAAAGGCGGGGGCUAAUAUCCUCUGCCGAUGACGGUACCUGAAGAAUAAGCACCGGCUAACUACGUGCCAGCAGCCGCGGUAAUACGUAGGGUGCAAGCGUUAAUCGGAAUUACUGGGCGUAAAGCGUGCGCAGGCGGUUGUGCAAGACAGAUGUGAAAUCCCCGGGCUCAACCUGGGAAUUGCAUUUGUGACUGCACGGCUAGAGUGUGUCAGAGGGGGGUAGAAUUCCACGUAGCAGUGAAAUGCGUAGAGAUGUGGAGGAAUACCGAUGGCGAAGGCAGCCCCCUGGGAUAACACUGACGCUCAUGCACGAAAGCGUGGGGAGCAAACAGGAUUAGAUACCCUAGUAGUCC
This 791-nucleotide ribosomal RNA is filed under the name uncultured bacterium. RNAcentral's name for it is "bacterial SSU rRNA". It matches the Rfam family "Bacterial small subunit ribosomal RNA", at positions 8 to 796 of the family's 1533-position model. The record is from RNAcentral.